CUUCAGUGAUGACACGAUGACGAGACGGAGCGAGACUCAUCCUGACUGAGGGUUCCUGGUCCAGGUCCACGUUCUGUGGUCCCGGUCCAGUCCUCAGACCAGUGAGUCCCUGUCACGUGAAGACAAAGAGGCAUUUGUCUGAGAGGG
This is a small nucleolar RNA of Salarias fasciatus (jewelled blenny), 147 nucleotides long. The record is from Ensembl. Lineage: Eukaryota; Metazoa; Chordata; Actinopteri; Blenniiformes; Blenniidae.